This 1663-nucleotide ribosomal RNA is filed under the name Salmonella enterica. RNAcentral describes it as "partial 23S ribosomal RNA". It matches the Rfam family "Bacterial large subunit ribosomal RNA", at positions 1165 to 2802 of the family's 2925-position model. Lineage: Bacteria; Pseudomonadati; Pseudomonadota; Gammaproteobacteria; Enterobacterales; Enterobacteriaceae. The record is from RNAcentral.
UGACGAUUGACGGAGCGAAGCGACGUCAAAGCGUAUACAAAGUCGAGUCGGUUUAAGGAUACGUUCGUUGGGUAGGGGAGCGUUCUGUAAGCCUGCGAAGGUGGCCUGUGAGGGUUGCUGGAGGUAUCAGAAGUGCGAAUGCUGACAUAAGUAACGAUAAAGCGGGUGAAAAGCCCGCUCGCCGGAAGACCAAGGGUUCCUGUCCAACGUUAAUCGGGGCAGGGUGAGUCGACCCCUAAGGCGAGGCCGAAAGGCGUAGUCGAUGGGAAACGGGUUAAUAUUCCCGUACUUGGUGUUACUGCGAAGGGGGGACGGAGAAGGCUAUGUUGGCCGGGCGACGGUUGUCCCGGUUUAAGCGUGUAGGUGUGUGUUCCAGGUAAAUCCGGUUCACUUUAACACUGAGGCGUGACGACGAGGCACUACGGUGCUGAAGCAACAAAUGCCCUGCUUCCAGGAAAAGCCUCUAAGCAUCAGGUAACAUCAAAUCGUACCCCAAACCGACACAGGUGGUCAGGUAGAGAAUACCAAGGCGCUUGAGAGAACUCGGGUGAAGGAACUAGGCAAAAUGGUGCCGUAACUUCGGGAGAAGGCACGCUGACACGUAGGUGAAGUGAUUUACUCAUGGAGCUGAAGUCAGUCGAAGAUACCAGCUGGCUGCAACUGUUUAUUAAAAACACAGCACUGUGCAAACACGAAAGUGGACGUAUACGGUGUGACGCCUGCCCGGUGCCGGAAGGUUAAUUGAUGGGGUCAGCGCAAGCGAAGCUCCUGAUCGAAGCCCCGGUAAACGGCGGCCGUAACUAUAACGGUCCUAAGGUAGCGAAAUUCCUUGUCGGGUAAGUUCCGACCUGCACGAAUGGCGUAAUGAUGGCCAGGCUGUCUCCACCCGAGACUCAGUGAAAUUGAACUCGCUGUGAAGAUGCAGUGUACCCGCGGCAAGACGGAAAGACCCCGUGAACCUUUACUAUAGCUUGACACUGAACAUUGAGCCUUGAUGUGUAGGAUAGGUGGGAGGCUUUGAAGUGUGGACGCCAGUCUGCAUGGAGCCGACCUUGAAAUACCACCCUUUAAUGUUUGAUGUUCUAACGUGGACCCGUAAUCCGGGUUGCGGACAGUGUCUGGUGGGUAGUUUGACUGGGGCGGUCUCCUCCUAAAGAGUAACGGAGGAGCACGAAGGUUGGCUAAUCCUGGUCGGACAUCAGGAGGUUAGUGCAAUGGCAUAAGCCAGCUUGACUGCGAGCGUGACGGCGCGAGCAGGUGCGAAAGCAGGUCAUAGUGAUCCGGUGGUUCUGAAUGGAAGGGCCAUCGCUCAACGGAUAAAAGGUACUCCGGGGAUAACAGGCUGAUACCGCCCAAGAGUUCAUAUCGACGGCGGUGUUUGGCACCUCGAUGUCGGCUCAUCACAUCCUGGGGCUGAAGUAGGUCCCAAGGGUAUGGCUGUUCGCCAUUUAAAGUGGUACGCGAGCUGGGUUUAGAACGUCGUGAGACAGUUCGGUCCCUAUCUGCCGUGGGCGCUGGAGAACUGAGGGGGGCUGCUCCUAGUACGAGAGGACCGGAGUGGACGCAUCACUGGUGUUCGGGUUGUCAUGCCAAUGGCACUGCCCGGUAGCUAAAUGCGGAAGAGAUAAGUGCUGAAAGCAUCUAAGCACGAAACUUGCCCCGA